UAUUUUUUUCUUUAAAUCAUUUCAAAUAUCAUUUCUACGAUCUAAUACGAAAAUACGGAUUGCGUAAAUAAACUUCAGUAAUAAAUACUUUAUUAAUCAAAGAAUUAAAUAAAUAAAUAAGUAAAGUAAAUAAAUAGAGAAGUCGACUUCGUUCGAUAUCAAUUACUUGAUUGACAAUGUAACGAAUAUAUAUCUACAAUACGUACAUAUUACACACGAACACACAUUUUUUUCCUCGUUAAUGACACAGCCUUAUUUUGCCUCGUAAGAGGAAAAAUUUCAUUUAAAAGGCGCGGUUUUAGUUAUCGCAGGGAUAGAAGAAAGAUGAGAAAGACGAUGACGAGGAAAUUUCAAAGCAGCCUCCUCAGAAUGAAAACGCAAAAGGGGGUAGAAAUAUUAUCGACCCGGUAGAUGCGUUUACAAAGUCUUCGUUCGUGCCGUAUCACACUUUAAUCAAUAUGAUUAUAAGAACCCUUUGUGUCUACCGAAACAAAAUGGAGUGAGUUAGUAGAUUGAAAGAGAGAUGAAGAGAGAAAGAGAGAGAGAGAGAGAGAGAGAGAGAGAGAGAGAGAAAGAGAUAGAGUUUCUAAUUGGAGACAAUGUAAUAAUAGAACCGACUGACAAUGAAUACGACAGAGAUAGACAGACACACAUAGAGAAAGAGAGAGAAAAGAGAGAGAGAGAGAGAGAGAGAGAGAGAGAGAGAGAGAGAGAGAGAGAGAGAGAGAGAAGAGCUGCUAUCGUCAUCCAUUUUCGAAAGAAUAUUGUUUAUAUGGAUCUUUCCACGAGUUUGCUACGUCGACGCGUCAUGUAAUCCGUGCGAAUGAAAAAGAGAGAGAUAGAGAGAGAGAGAGAGAGAGAGAGAGAGAGAGAGAGAGAGA
Long non-coding RNA from Vespula pensylvanica (western yellowjacket), 881 nucleotides. RefSeq lists it as uncharacterized. Lineage: Eukaryota; Metazoa; Arthropoda; Insecta; Hymenoptera; Vespidae. The transcript has 2 exons. The record is from RefSeq and is a predicted model, not a curated record.